Small nucleolar RNA from Hucho hucho (huchen), 128 nucleotides. Its record names the gene SNORA71. It matches the Rfam family "Small nucleolar RNA SNORA71". From Rfam's summary of the family: The members of this family belong to the H/ACA class of snoRNAs which bind a number of proteins (including dyskerin, Gar1p and Nop10p) to form snoRNP complexes. This class of snoRNAs are thought to guide the sites of modification of uridines to pseudouridines by forming direct base pairing interactions with substrate RNAs. The record is from Ensembl. Lineage: Eukaryota; Metazoa; Chordata; Actinopteri; Salmoniformes; Salmonidae.
ACCUGUGUCGAAAGUGACUCUGGCAUGACUGUUGCCAUCGUCAUUGAUAGUGCAGGAACAGUGAUCUGAAAGCUUUUCCCGUGUUUGUUGGAAUAACUCUUCCUGUCAAACCCUGUGUCUUUCAAACA